RNAcentral lists this long non-coding RNA (1798 nucleotides) under Homo sapiens (human). Its description in RNAcentral is "HSALNT0320565". Lineage: Eukaryota; Metazoa; Chordata; Mammalia; Primates; Hominidae. The record is from RNAcentral.
GUCUCAUUUUAUCUGUAGCUGAACUUUCAGGAAGAUAAGCAGCCCAGACUUGAGUUUCUAGAUGUAUACAACCAGGUGCAUGUCCAAGGCACAGAGGGUGGUAUUUAUAACCCAUAGUAACAUUAAAUGCAGUGUCUUAUUCUCCUGGUUGGGCAGGGCAACAGUUAUCUGUGGCUCCAGGCAUCCACACACUAUUGUUAGUGUAGAUUUCUGCAGAAGCAUCUAUCCAGGUGAGAGGUUGAAUAAGUGGAGGAAAAGGCACAUAAGCCCAAUAAGAAUAUUUAUGUGUAGCAGGUAAAUCAGUGUGAGAGGAAACUGGUGAGACAGAAAGUAUAAGGAGGAGAAUCAUUAAAUAAAACUUAUUGUAAGUGAGAUUCUGAAGAAGGAAGAGAAGAACAGUGUUAAGUAUCCUGGCAAAGGAGCAUUAGGGUUACAGAUAGAAUUGAAGUUGCUCGUCAGCUGAUUGAAGAUAAGGAGAUUGGCCUGGAUUAUCCAGGUAGGCUCAAUGUAAUCAGGAAGGGCCUUUAAAGUGAGAGAGGGAGGCAGAAGAGGAAGUCAGAGCGAUGUGCUGUGAAAUCUACUACCGUUUGCUGGUUUUGAAAAUGGAGAAAAAGAGUGAGGAACUGAGAAACAUGGAUGGCCUUGGGAACGUGGAAAAGGGUCACUGAAAUGGGACGACAUGAACUCAAGGAGGCUAUUUAUGACCAUGUCAUUUGCAACAUGAAGAAAGCUUAUCUGGAGUGAAAGUAAAUGAGACCAACAGAGAUGAGAGACCCGGAGAAAUCCUGGUUACACUGCUUGAAUCCUGUCAGUCCUAUACUGGAGUCCUGUUAAUACAAAAUAAUAGUAAUAAUCCCUCUGUUUCUUAUGUUUAUGCCAACUUCAACAAAAAGAAACUUGACUAAGAGACAAUAUAAGAAUUUAAUGUGUAAUUAAGAAAGAACUCUCCACCACGGGGAAUGUGAAAGACACAUACUAACAAAAGGCCACAUGAGGACACAGUGAGAAGCUGGAAGUCUACAACCCAGAAGAGAGCCCUCAACAGAACCUAACCAUGCUGGUACCCUGAUCUCAGACAUCCAGCCUCCAGAAGAGUGAAAAAAUAUAAUUCUUAUUUCUAAGCAACCUGGUCUAUGGUAUUUCAUUAUGGCAGCCCAAGCUAAGACAGAUCCCUAUCCUAUUCACCAUGCUGCAGAGCCACAUGAGCCUCCCUUUUGUUCCUCAAGCUCAUCAAAUACCUCCUAGCCUUAGAACUUGCUAUUCCCUCUAACCAGAAUUCUCUUCCAGGUCUUUCCAUCCUGUAAGUCUUGUCCUUUAGAUCGAAAUUCACAUGUGACCUCCCCUGAGAAUGGUCCUCUGAAAACCUAUCUCAAAGAGUGUUCCCAGUUACUCUCUACCUUACCCCCAGGUUAUUAUCUUCCCACCACUUUUCCAUAUUUGUAAUCAUUUGCUUUUGUAUAUGUGUGAUAUGGUUAGGCUUAGUGUCCCUACCCAAAUCUCGUGUUAAAUUGUAAUCCCCAGGGAGAUUACAAUUUAGGGAGAGACCUGGUGGGAAGUGAUUGGAUUAUGGGGGUGGGUUCCCCCAUGCUGUUCUCGUGAUAGUGAGUGAAUUCUCAUAAGAUCUAAUGGUUUUGUAAAUGGUAGUUUUUCCUGUGCUGACUCAUUCUCUCUCCUGCUGCCUUGUGAAGAGGUGCCUUCUGUCAUGACUGUAAGUUUCCUGAAGCUUCCCCAACCAUGGGGAACUGUGAGUCAAUUAAACCUCUUUGCUUUAUAAAUUACCCAGUCUCAGGUAUUUCUU